UCGGCUCUUCCAUUGGUGUUCGUCUCCAACCAUUUAAUCUCACUUAUCCAACCACACAAUCCAUCAUGUAUAUUAACCGUGUUCCACCUCAUAAUUUGUAUCUCAGUUUUCAAGUGCAGCAAUCCAUCAUGUAUAUGUACAUGAUUUUAUCCAACCAGAUUGGUUUGGCAGGAGCUAUUUGAACUUUGAAGCAGAUGGAGCCAAGUUCAGCAAGAUAUGGGUGUCGCACUAUAUUUCUACAUGGGAGAUUGAAGCGGAAAUUUGUCCCACGGAAGUGGAGUUGGUCGAGACUCGCUUGGAUAGAUCCAAGACUCAACACUAAUGGAUCUACUCGAGGAGACGAAGAACCUUGGAAAUCAUAUUAGAAGUAGAUUGCUUGUCAUUAAGUAUUUAUUUAUUUUGAGGAAUAAAUCAUUUCUGAGGAGGCAGACUAAAUUUUGAUAGCCAAAUUUUGUUGGUAUAGAUAGCGCAAGGGCAGCCAAUCUAUGUCCCCAGCAAUGUGUAGUCCAUCACAUCAUG
Long non-coding RNA from Triticum dicoccoides, 519 nucleotides. RefSeq lists it as uncharacterized. The record is from RefSeq and is a predicted model, not a curated record. NCBI's taxonomy places the organism in Eukaryota, Viridiplantae, Streptophyta, Magnoliopsida, Poales, Poaceae. The transcript is spliced from 3 exons.